This 253-nucleotide ribosomal RNA is filed under the name uncultured bacterium. RNAcentral describes it as "partial 16S ribosomal RNA". It matches the Rfam family "Bacterial small subunit ribosomal RNA", at positions 524 to 776 of the family's 1533-position model. The record is from RNAcentral.
UACAGAGGGGGCAAGCGUUAUUCGGAAUUAUUGGGCGUAAAGGGUGCGUAGGCGGUUUGGUAAGUCUGAUGUGAAAUCUAUGGGCUCAACUCAUAGUCUGCAUCGGAAACUGCCGGGCUUGAGUGUGGGAGAGGUGAGUGGAAUUCCUGGUGUAGCGGUGAAAUGCGUAGAUAUCAGGAGGAACACCUGUGGCGAAAGCGGCUCACUGGACCAUAACUGACGCUGAUGCACGAAAGCUAGGGGAGCAAACAGG